CAGUAGCCGCGGUAAAACGGAGGGUGCAAGCGUUACUCGGAAUCACUGGGCGUAAAGGACGCGUAGGCGGAUUAUCAAGUCUCUUGUGAAAUCUAACGGCUUAACCGUUAAACUGCUUGGGAAACUGAUAAUCUAGAGUAAGGGAGAGGCAGAUGGAAUUCUUGGUGUAGGGGUAAAAUCCGUAGAGAUCAAGAAGAAUACCCAUUGCGAAAGCGAUCUGCUGGAACUUAACUGACGCUAAUGCGUGAAAGCGUGGGGAGCAAACAGGAUUAGAUACCCCCGUAGUCCCUGUCUCUUAUAC
RNAcentral lists this ribosomal RNA (301 nucleotides) under uncultured bacterium. RNAcentral describes it as "partial 16S ribosomal RNA". It matches the Rfam family "Bacterial small subunit ribosomal RNA", at positions 509 to 807 of the family's 1533-position model. The record is from RNAcentral.